This 576-nucleotide ribosomal RNA is filed under the name uncultured bacterium. RNAcentral describes it as "bacterial SSU rRNA". It matches the Rfam family "Bacterial small subunit ribosomal RNA", at positions 337 to 903 of the family's 1533-position model. The record is from RNAcentral.
UCCUACGGGAGGCAGCAGUAGGGAAUCUUCCGCAAUGGACGAAAGUCUGACGGAGCAACGCCGCGUGAGUGAUGAAGGCUUUCGGGUCGUAAAACUCUGUUGUUAGGGAAGAACAAGUGCUAGUUGAAUAAGCUGGCACCUUGACGGUACCUAACCAGAAAGCCACGGCUAACUACGUGCCAGCAGCCGCGGUAAUACGUAGGUGGCAAGCGUUAUCCGGAAUUAUUGGGCGUAAAGCGCGCGCAGGUGGUUUCUUAAGUCUGGUGUGAAAGCCCACGGCUCAACCGUGGAGGGUCAUUGGAAACUGGGAGACUUGAGUGCAGAAGAGGAAAGUGGAAUUCCAUGUGUAGCGGUGAGAUGCGUAGAGAUAUGAAGGAACACCAGUGGCGAAGGCGACUUUCUGGUCUGCAACUGACACUGAGGCGCGAAAGCGUGGGGAGCAAACAGGAUUAGAUACCCUGGUAGUCCACGCCGUAAACGAUGAGUGCUAAGUGUUAGAGGGUUUCCGCCCUUUAGUGCUGAAGUUAACGCAUUAAGCACUCCGCCUGGGGAGUACGGCCGCAAGGCUGAAACUCA